UUAUAUAAGUGUCUCAUCAAAAACUCUUUUGAAGUGCCUUCAUCCCAUGGUUUAAUUUGGUUGGGCCUUGCCCCUCCAAAAGCUGAGAUCUUAAUUUGGCUUGCUUACCAUGGCAGACUAUGCACAAGGGCUUGGCUUAAUUCAAUUCGAGUUCUGGACCUUGCUCAGAAUUUAUGUCCUUUUUGCUCAGUGGAUCCCAAAACUAUAACCCACCUUUUUCUUAGCUGCUCUUUUUCAUGGCUAGUUUGGUCCUGGUUCAUGGAUUGGUGUGAUUUAAAGUUUUGCAUACCAAAUUCAUUUGCUUCCUUUUUCAUUCAGUGGAAAUGCCUCUCAUAUGGAAAACUUCAAUCAAAAUUCUGGUGUACUUUAUUUUUUGCCAUAUCUUGGUCAAUUUGGCUCACAAGGAAUGAAAGGAUAUUUAACAAUAAAGAGAUUCCAAUAUCAUCUCUUUAUGCCCUCAUACUUUUUCGAGUUGCCAUUUGGAGGAAGGCAAGUGAUCCAAAUUUUCCUUUCUCUGGAAAUGACCUGUUAAUCUCCUCAUCUUCGGUUCGUUCUUGGACCAACAAUGGUAGUUCCAAGUCUCUUGUUUCAUGGAACGCUCCACCACCAAACGACUUGAAAUGGAAUGUAGAUGGGUCUUCAAGAGGUAAACCAGGUGCAAGUGCAAUUGGAGGUGUCUUAAGAUAUUUCCUAAGCCAUUUUGUCUGUAUUUUCUUUUGCCCAAUUGGUAUUGAUGAGAGCAAUUCUGCAGAACUAAAAGCAAUUGAGUGAGCACUCUCCCUGCUGGUCUCAAAACCUUCCUUACUGCAUAAUACUGAGUCCGUUUUCCUUGAAUCAGAUUCACAAAACGCUCUAUCUUGGAAGAGGCGGAGGAUGAGGAUGAAGAGGAAUCGUGCAAAGAAAGAGUAGUGAGACGAUGUCGUUUGGAAGAAGGAGAGUUGUUAGUUACAGAAAAAGUACAACUGGGUGUGUUAAAAGACCAUUUACAUGGUGGUAGUGAAGCGGAAACCAUCAUUGGACUUUGAGCUUCACUCUCUAGAAUUCCUUCCUGGCAAAUUUCUUCAUUCGGUAUCAAUCUCUGCUGACUCCACAGCAUCAGACAGCACUUAUUAUUGGACAAAAUCGUCGUGGUUUUAUCCAGUGACUUAAAUAUUAGGACAUCCGCGUCUCCAUCUUCACGUAAUUGGCCGGGAUUACCAUUUGUAUUUGGGCCAUAUUGCUUCCUCUUGACUCUUGUCCAAUACGACAAUUCUUCCAUUCCAACCAAGGCUAGCCCUGCAAACGGAACUGAUUUUUAUGGAAGUAAAAGCAGGUGAUAGAAUCGUUUAGUGAUCUUAGAUGCCUCAGGUUCAUUAAUUGGAGUCCCUCAGGCUCAGCAACGCUGGGCAGAUGAUAGUCAUCACUCAUUGCCUAAUUCUGAUGAAUCGUACAUGUCAUUUCUAACCAUACUUCACUUAUUCAUCUCAUAGUCAAACUCUCACAUGAAUGUGAUGAAGAAAUUUAGAGUACUAGUACAUGACUUCUUGAUCUUUACACCGACUCUGUACUUUGCCAUGCCAAAAUCUAUUUUCUCUUAUUUUA
RNA transcript from Hevea brasiliensis (rubber tree), 1581 nucleotides. RefSeq lists it as uncharacterized. NCBI's taxonomy places the organism in Eukaryota, Viridiplantae, Streptophyta, Magnoliopsida, Malpighiales, Euphorbiaceae. The transcript has 2 exons. The record is from RefSeq and is a predicted model, not a curated record.